AGUGAACGCUGGCGGUAGGCCUAACACAUGUAAGUCGAACGGCAGCACAGGAGAGCUUGCUCUCUGGGUGGCGAGUGGCGGACGGGUGAGGAAUACAUCGGAAUCUACUCUGUCGUGGGGGAUAACGUAGGGAAACUUACGCUAAUACCGCAUACGACCUACGGGUGGAAGCAGGGGACCUUCGGGCCUUGCGCGAUUGAAUGAGCCGGUGUCGGAUUAGCUAGUUGGCGGGGUAAAGGCCCACCAAGGCGACGAUCCGUAGCUGGUCUGAGAGGAUGAUCAGCCACACUGGAACUGAGACACGGUCCAGACUUCUACGGGAGGCAGCAGUGGGGAAUAUUGGACAAUGGGCGCAAGCCUGAUCCAGCCAUACCGCGUGGGUGAAGAAGGCCUUCGGGUUGUAAAGCCCUUUUGUUGGGAAAGAAAUCCAGCUGGCUAAUACCCGGUUGGGAUGACGGUACCCAAAGAAUAAGCACCGGCUAACUUCGUGCCAGCAGCCGCAGUAA
Molecule: ribosomal RNA, 506 nt
Filed under: uncultured bacterium
Lineage: Bacteria
Description: partial 16S ribosomal RNA
Rfam family: Bacterial small subunit ribosomal RNA
Source: RNAcentral